This 253-nucleotide ribosomal RNA is filed under the name uncultured bacterium. RNAcentral's name for it is "partial 16S ribosomal RNA". It matches the Rfam family "Bacterial small subunit ribosomal RNA", at positions 524 to 776 of the family's 1533-position model. The record is from RNAcentral.
UACGAAGGGGGCUAGCGUCGCUCGGAAUGACUGGGCGUAAAGGGCGCGUAGGCGGCUUGCACCGUCAGAUGUGAAAUUCCUGGGCUUAACCUGGGGGCUGCAUUUGAUACGUGUGGGCUUGAGUGCGGAAGAGGGUCGUGGAAUUCCCAGUGUAGAGGUGAAAUUCGUAGAUAUUGGGAAGAACACCGGUGGCGAAGGCGGCGACCUGGUCCGUGACUGACGCUGAGGCGCGAAAGCGUGGGGAGCAAACAGG